GAUGAACGCUGGCGGCGUGCCUAAUACAUGCAAGUCGAGCGAACAGACGAGGAGCUUGCUCCUCUGACGUUAGCGGCGGACGGGUGAGUAACACGUGGAUAACCUACCUAUAAGACUGGGAUAACUUCGGGAAACCGGAGCUAAUACCGGAUAAUAUAUUGAACCGCAUGGUUCAAUAGUGAAAGACGGUUUUGCUGUCACUUAUAGAUGGAUCCGCGCCGCAUUAGCUAGUUGGUAAGGUAACGGCUUACCAAGGCAACGAUGCGUAGCCGACCUGAGAGGGUGAUCGGCCACACUGGAACUGAGACACGGUCCAGACUCCUACGGGAGGCAGCAGUAGGGAAUCUUCCGCAAUAGGCGAAAGCUUGACGGAGCAACGCCGCGUGAGUGAUGAAGGGCUUCGGAUCGUAAAACUCUGUUAUUAGGGAAGAACAAAUGUGUAAGUAACUAUGCACGUCUUGACGGUACCUAAUCAGAAAGCCACGGCUAACUACGUGC
RNAcentral lists this ribosomal RNA (498 nucleotides) under uncultured bacterium. RNAcentral's name for it is "partial 16S ribosomal RNA". It matches the Rfam family "Bacterial small subunit ribosomal RNA", at positions 28 to 508 of the family's 1533-position model. The record is from RNAcentral.